CCUACGGGUGGCUGCAGUGAGGAAUAUUGGUCAAUGGGCGAGAGCCUGAACCAGCCAAGUCGCGUGAAGGAUGACGGCCCUACGGGUUGUAAACUUCUUUUGUCAGGGAGCAAUUGAGUCCACGUGUGGUCUUAGCGAGAGUACCUGAAGAAAACGCAUCGGCUAACUCCGUGCAAGCAGCCGCGGUAAUAGGAGGGAUGCGAGCGUUAUCUGGAUUUAUUGGGUUUAAGGGGUGCGUAGGCGGAAUAUCAAGUCAGCGGUAAAAAUUCGGGGCUGAACCCCGUCGUGCCGUUGAAACUGAUGUUCUUGAGUGGGCGGGAAGUAUGCGGAAUGCGUGGUGUAGCGGUGAAAUGCAUAGAUAUCACGCAGAACUCCGAUUGCGAAGGCAGCAUACCGGCGCCCAACUGACGCUGAAGCGCGAAAGCGUGGGUAUCGAACAGGAUUAGAUACCCUUGUAGUC
RNAcentral lists this ribosomal RNA (460 nucleotides) under uncultured bacterium. RNAcentral's name for it is "partial 16S ribosomal RNA". It matches the Rfam family "Bacterial small subunit ribosomal RNA", at positions 338 to 795 of the family's 1533-position model. The record is from RNAcentral.